Molecule: long non-coding RNA, 1138 nt
Organism: Gallus gallus (chicken)
Lineage: Eukaryota; Metazoa; Chordata; Aves; Galliformes; Phasianidae
Source: Ensembl
CUGAAGCCUUCUGAAGGUAAGCAGAUUAUUUCCUUUAUUUCUGCGCCUAGAAUUGUUGCAUUUGAGUAUAUCCUUACUUGUUGCAGCCUGGGACUUUGCUGCUAUGCUGCUGUUGCUGUGCUUUCCAUUGUGUUGUAGUAUUACAAGUGUGUUUCGAUAGCCCUGUAUCUGCCUAUUGUCUCUGACUUGAGAAGGAAACUGAAACCCAGUGUGCUGGGAAGGAGAAGUUCAAAGUAAUUGUAGUGAUGUUAAUUCCAUACAUUGGUUUUUCUCAUGUGGUAAGAAUACACAGUUCCCUUCAACUUGGUAACCUUAAGGAACUUGACAUUAUUUCAGUGUAAAAGAAAAGUGGGGUCUGUAAUGCAUGGACCUCAUGGCCAUUGUAGGUUCUGAAGCCUGGUUGUGAACCUGGCAAUAGCACCCAACAGGUGGCAUGAGCCCAGCACUAGCUGGGGAGAGUUUGGAGGCAAAGUGAAGGAUGGAGGAGGUGACACCUAGUUUGUGUGGUGGGGCUCCAGAUGAAAGCCAGAUCAUAAAGUCGUAGAAUGGUUGAGUUGGAAGGGACCUCAAAGAUCAUCUGGCUCUGUCUCCCCUGCCCAAGGCUGGGUUUCCACCCACUGGAUCAGGCUGCCCAGGGCCCCAUCCAACUUGGCCUUGAAUGCCUCCAAGGACAGGGCAUUCAGGACCUCUCUAGGCAAGCACUGAAGACCAUUUCAUUCAUCAGCCCAGUUCCUUUGCAUCCCAAAGCACAUGGAAGCGUUCCUAAUGCAUGCAAUAGGAAAUGUUGGAAGGGGGUUGCUAAGGGCAUCCACAAGUCUGCUCCAUGCCAGAUGGAGAAAUGCAGGAGGUGCUGGUGGGGGGGAGUACAACAAAAGAAAGGUAUCAGAGCCAGCUGGCAGGGCCUCCAGGGGGUGAAGAGGGCUGGUUGCCCAGCUGGUAGAUGAGGUGGGUGUAGAGCAGAACCCAGGUGUGUGCAGGCUGAAGCCCAACGAGCUGCGAGCUGCUCUCUUGUGUCAUUACAUUUAGAGACGAGCAACCAGGAUGUGUCUGAAAAGGUUACCAGGCUCCUUUCUAAUGACUCAUUUCAGAACAGUGGCGUCAGUAAGCCACAAUUUUUGCUUUGCUGUGAUUUUAGAGG